RNAcentral lists this ribosomal RNA (462 nucleotides) under uncultured bacterium. Its description in RNAcentral is "partial 16S ribosomal RNA". It matches the Rfam family "Bacterial small subunit ribosomal RNA", at positions 28 to 507 of the family's 1533-position model. The record is from RNAcentral.
GAUGAACGCUGACAGAAUGCUUAACACAUGCAAGUCUUUGGCGAAGCUGUGCUUGCACAGCCUAGCCAAGGCGGACGGGUGAGUAACGCGUAAGGAACUUGCCCUGCAGUCAGGGAUAACAGACGGAAACGACUGAUAAGACCUGGUAAAGUCAGGCGGACUCAUGUCCAGCCUGAUGAAAAGAGAUGCUGCAGGAGAGCCUUGCGUCCUAUUAGCUUGUUGGUGGGGUAACGGCCCACCAAGGCGAUGAUAGGUAGCCGGCCUGGGAGGGUGGACGGCCACAAGGGGACUGAGAUACGGCCCUUACUCCUACGGGAGGCAGCAGUGGGGAAUAUUGGACAAUGGGGGCAACCCUGAUCCAGCAAUUCUGUGUGCACGAUGAAGGUUUUCGGAUUGUAAAGUGCUUUCAGCAGGGAAGAAAAAAUGACGGUACCUGCAGAAGAAGCGACGGCUAAAUACGUG